CCGGUGCCCUUGUGCGUGACGACGAAGGCGAAGACGGUGAGGCCGAGGAGGACGACGAUGAGCAGGAACAUGGCGACGAGGUAGAACCAGAGGAGGCAGGUGACGCGGCAGCAGGCGCCGACGAGCCCCGCGAUGGAGACGAGCAUGAGGAACACCCCCACCGCGAUCACCGGCGCCGCCAGGUAGCGCUCGCACUCGGUGCCGUCGGCGCGCGCCCGCAGCCAGAUGCCGCCCGCCAGGAUGGGCACCGAGAGCAGGAAGGUCACCGCGUUCAGGAUCCCGAUCACCGUGUUGCUUAGCCGCACCAUCUUGGCGCCGGCGGGGGGUCGCGUCCGCGGUGGCGUGCGGUUUCUUGGACGGGGCUGGGUGGCGGUUGGCGCGGCGGUUUUCGAAAGGUUUUUGGGGAAGGGGGCGUGGCGCACGGUGUGAUCUGGGAAUUGUGUGAUGAUG
This 450-nucleotide long non-coding RNA is filed under the name Triticum aestivum (bread wheat). Its description in RNAcentral is "long non-coding RNA (TAES_LNC007364)". Lineage: Eukaryota; Viridiplantae; Streptophyta; Magnoliopsida; Poales; Poaceae. The record is from RNAcentral.